This 473-nucleotide ribosomal RNA is filed under the name uncultured organism. RNAcentral's name for it is "partial 16S ribosomal RNA". It matches the Rfam family "Bacterial small subunit ribosomal RNA", at positions 333 to 797 of the family's 1533-position model. The record is from RNAcentral.
ACACUCCUGCGGGAGGCAGCAGUGGGGAAUAUUGCACAAUGGGCGCAAGCCUGAUGCAGCCAUGCCGCGUGUAUGAAGAAGGCCUUCGGGUUGUAAAGUACUUUCAGCGGGGAGGAAGGCAAUACGGUUAAUAACCGUGUUGAUUGACGUUACCCGCAGAAGAAGCACCGGCUAACUCCGUGCCAGCAGCCGCGGUAAUACGGAGGGUGCAAGCGUUAAUCGGAAUUACUGGGCGUAAAGCGCACGCAGGCGGUCUGUCAAGUCGGAUGUGAAAUCCCCGGGCUCAACCUGGGAACUGCAUUCGAAACUGGCAGGCUUGAGUCUUGUAGAGGGGGGUAGAAUUCCAGGUGUAGCGGUGAAAUGCGUAGAGAUCUGGAGGAAUACCGGUGGCGAAGGCGGCCCCCUGGACAAAGACUGACGCUCAGGUGCGAAAGCGUGGGGAGCAAACAGGAUUAGAAACCCGGGUAGUCCCA